RNAcentral lists this ribosomal RNA (458 nucleotides) under uncultured bacterium. RNAcentral describes it as "bacterial SSU rRNA". It matches the Rfam family "Bacterial small subunit ribosomal RNA", at positions 29 to 524 of the family's 1533-position model. The record is from RNAcentral.
AACGAACGCUGGCGGCAUGCCUAACACAUGCAAGUCGAACGGGAUCAUAGCUUGCUAGGUGAGAGUGGCGGACGGGUGAGUAACACGUGGGAAUCUGCCUUUUGGUUCGGGAUAACCGCGGGAAACUGCGGCUAAUACCGAAUGCCCUCGAGAGAGGAAAGAUUUAUCGCCAGAAGAGGAGCCCGCGUCCGAUUAGGUAGUUGGUGGGGUAAAGGCCUACCAAGCCGACGAUCGGUAGCUGGUCUGAGAGGAUGAUCAGCCACACUGGGACUGAGAUACGGCCCAGACUCCUACGGGAGGCAGCAGUGGGGAAUAUUGGACAAUGGGGGCAACCCUGAUCCAGCAAUGCCGCGUGAGUGAUGAAGGCCUUAGGGUUGUAAAGCUCUUUUGCCAGGGAAGAUGAUGACUGUACCUGGAGAAUAAGCCCCGGCUAACUUCGUGCCAGCAGCCGCGGUAAU